GGCGAACGGGUGAGUAAUAUAUCGGAACGUGCCCAGUCGUGGGGGAUAACGCAGCGAAAGCUGUGCUAAUACCGCAUACGAUCUAUGGAUGAAAGCGGGGGAUCGCAAGGCCUCGCGCGAUUGGAGCGGCCGAUAUCAGAUUAGGUAGUUGGUGGGGUAAAAGCCCACCAAGCCGACGAUCUGUAGCUGGUCUGAGAGGACGACCAGCCACACUGGAACUGAGACACGGUCCAGACUCCUACGGGAGGCAGCAGUGGGGAAUUUUGGACAAUGGGCGAAAGCCUGAUCCAGCAAUGCCGCGUGCAGGAUGAAGGCCUUCGGGUUGUAAACUGCUUUUGUACGGAACGAAACGGUCUGCUCUAAUACAGUGGGCUAAUGACGGUACCGUAAGAAUAAGCACCGGCUAACUACGUGCCAGCAGCCGCGGUAAUACGUAGGGUGCGAGCGUUAAUCGGAAUUACUGGGCGUAAAGCGUGCGCAGGCGGUUCUAUAAGACAGAUGUGAAAUCCCCGGGCUUAACCUGGGAACUGCGCUUGUGACUGUAGGACUCGAGUGUGGCAGAGGGGGGUGGAAUUCCACGUGUAGCAGUGAAAUGCGUAGAGAUGUGGAGGAACACCGAUGGCGAAGGCAGCCCCCUGGGUCAACACUGACGCUCAUGCACGAAAGCGUGGGGAGCAAACAGGAUUAGAUACCCUGGUAGUCCACGCCCUAAACGAUGCGAACUAGGUGUUGGGGAAGGAGACUUUCUUA
This 750-nucleotide ribosomal RNA is filed under the name uncultured bacterium. RNAcentral describes it as "bacterial SSU rRNA". It matches the Rfam family "Bacterial small subunit ribosomal RNA", at positions 97 to 842 of the family's 1533-position model. The record is from RNAcentral.